AACGAACGCUGGCGGCAUGCCUAACACAUGCAAGUCGAACGAGACCUUCGGGUCUAGUGGCGCACGGGUGCGUAACGCGUGGGAACCUGCCCUUAGGUUCGGAAUAACUCCCCGAAAGGGGUGCUAAUACCGGAUAAUGUCUUCGGACCAAAGAUUUAUCGCCUUUGGAUGGGCCCGCGUUGGAUUAGCUAGUUGGUAGGGUAAAAGCCUACCAAGGCGACGAUCCAUAGCUGGUCUGAGAGGAUGCUCAGCCACGCUGGGACUGAGACACGGCCCAGACUCCUACGGGAGGCAGCAGUGGGGAAUAUUAGACAAUGGGCGAAAGCGUGAUCCAGCAAUGCCGCGGGAGUGAUGAAGGCCUUAGGGUUGUAAAGCUCUUUUACCCGGGAUGAUAAUGACAGUACCGGGAGAAUAAGCUCCGGCUAACUCCGUG
RNAcentral lists this ribosomal RNA (433 nucleotides) under uncultured bacterium. RNAcentral's name for it is "partial 16S ribosomal RNA". It matches the Rfam family "Bacterial small subunit ribosomal RNA", at positions 29 to 507 of the family's 1533-position model. The record is from RNAcentral.